AUUGAACGCUGGCGGCAUGCUUUACACAUGCAAGUCGAACGGCAGCGCGGGCUUCGGCCUGGCGGCGAGUGGCGCACGGGUGAGUAAUACACCGGAACGUGCCCAGCAGUGGGGGAUAGCUCGGCGAAAGCCGGAUUAAUACCGCAUACGACCUGAUGGUGAAAGCGGGGGGUCUUCGGACCUCGCGCUCUUGGAGGGGCCGAGGGCCGAUUAGCUAGUUGGUGGGGUAAAGGCCUACCAAGGCGACGAUCUGUAGCUGGUCUGAGAGGACGACCGGCCACCCGAGAGCUGAGACACGGCCCAGACGCCUACGGGAGGCAGCAGUGGGGAAUGUUGGGCAACGGGCGAAAGCCUGAUCCAGCAAUGCCGCGUGUGUGAUGAAGGCGUUCGGGGUGGAAAGCACUUUUGGCGGGAACGAAAAGGACUGUGCCAAUACCACGGUUCGAUGACGGUACCCGCAGAAUAAGCACCGGCUAACUACGUG
RNAcentral lists this ribosomal RNA (484 nucleotides) under uncultured bacterium. Its description in RNAcentral is "partial 16S ribosomal RNA". It matches the Rfam family "Bacterial small subunit ribosomal RNA", at positions 28 to 507 of the family's 1533-position model. The record is from RNAcentral.